UAGGGAAUCUUCGGCAAUGGACGAAAGUCUGACCGAGCAACGCCGCGUGAGUGAAGAAGGUUUUCGGAUCGUAAAACUCUGUUGUUAGAGAAGAACAAGGACGUUAGUAACUGAACGUCCCCUGACGGUAUCUAACCAGAAAGCCACGGCUAACUACGUGCCAGCAGCCGCGGUAAUACGGAGGUGGCAAGCGUUGUCCGGAUUUAUUGGGCGUAAAGCGAGCGCAGUCGGUUUCUUAAGUCUGAUGUGAAAGCCCCCGGCUCAACCGGGGAGGGUCAUUGGAAACUGGGAGACUUGAGUGCAGAAGAGGGGAGUGGAAUUCCAUGUGUAGCGGUGAAAUGCGUAGAUAUAUGGAGGAACACCAGUGGCGAAGGCGGCUCUCUGGUCUGUAACUGACGCUGAGGCUCGAAAGCGUGGGGAGCAAACAGG
This 429-nucleotide ribosomal RNA is filed under the name Gemmatimonadota bacterium. RNAcentral's name for it is "Gemmatimonadetes bacterium partial 16S ribosomal RNA". It matches the Rfam family "Bacterial small subunit ribosomal RNA", at positions 355 to 776 of the family's 1533-position model. The record is from RNAcentral. Lineage: Bacteria; Pseudomonadati; Gemmatimonadota.